This 344-nucleotide unclassified non-coding RNA is filed under the name soil metagenome. RNAcentral describes it as "partial contains 5.8S ribosomal RNA, internal transcribed spacer 2, and large subunit ribosomal RNA". The stretch from base 1 to 120 matches the Rfam family "5.8S ribosomal RNA", at positions 35 to 154 of the family's 154-position model. The record is from RNAcentral.
GAUGAAGAACGCAGCGAAAUGCGAUAAGUAAUGUGAAUUGCAGAAUUCAGUGAAUCAUCGAGUCUUUGAACGCACAUUGCGCCCCCUGGUAUUCCGGGGGGCAUGCCUGUCCGAGCGUCAUUGCUGCCCUCAAGCACGGCUUGUGUGUUGGGCCUCCGUCCUCCUCCCGGGGGACGGGCCCGAAAGGCAGCGGCGGCACCGCGUCCGGUCCUCGAGCGUAUGGGGCUUCGUCACCCGCUCUUGUAGGCCCGGCCGGCGCUUGCCGACACAUCAAUCUUUUUUCCAGGUUGACCUCGGAUCAGGUAGGGAUACCCGCUGAACUUAAGCAUAUCAAUAAGCGGAGG